Molecule: ribosomal RNA, 301 nt
Filed under: uncultured bacterium
Lineage: Bacteria
Description: partial 16S ribosomal RNA
Rfam family: Bacterial small subunit ribosomal RNA
Source: RNAcentral
CAGUCGCCGCGGUAGUACGUAGGUGGCAAGCGUUGUCCGGAAUUAUUGGGCGUAAAGCGCGCGCAGGCGGAUCAGUUAGUCUGUCUUAAAAGUUCGGGGCUUAACCCCGUGAGGGGCUGGAAACUGCUGAUCUAGAGUAUCGGAGAGGAAAGUGGAAUUCCUAGUGUAGCGGUGAAAUGCGUAGAUAUUAGGAAGAACACCAGUGGCGAAGGCGACUUUCUGGACGAAAACUGACGCUGAGGCGCGAAAGCCAGGGGAGCGAACGGGAUUAGAUACCCGCGUAGUCCCUGUCUCUUAUACA